Molecule: ribosomal RNA, 461 nt
Filed under: uncultured eukaryote
Lineage: Eukaryota
Description: SSU rRNA
Rfam family: Eukaryotic small subunit ribosomal RNA
Source: RNAcentral
UCCAGCUCCAAUAGCGUAUAUUAAAGUUGUUGCAGUUAAAAAGCUCGUAGUUGAACUUCAGACCUGGCUGGGCGGUCUGCCUAACGGUAUGUACUGUCCGGCUGGGUCUUACCUCUUGGUGAGCCGGCAUGCCCUUCACUGGGUGUGUCGGGGAACCAGGACUUUUACCUUGAGAAAAUUAGAGUGUCAAAGCAGGCUUAUGCCCGAAUGCAUUAGCAUGGAAUAAUAAAAUAGGACGUGCGGUUCUAUUUUGUUGGUUUCUAGAGUCGCCGUAAUGAUUAAUAGGGAUAGUUGGGGGCAUUAGUAUUCCGUUGCUAGAGGUGAAAUUCUUGGAUUUACGGAAGACUAACUAUUGCGAAAGCAUUUGCCAAGGAUGUUUUCAUUAAUCAAGAACGAAGGUUAGGGGAUCGAAAACGAUCCAGAUAGCCGGUGUAGUCUUAACAGUAAACUAUGCCGACUAG